CUACCCGGGUUUCUAAUCCUGUUCGCUCCCCAUGCUUUCGCUCCUCAGCGUCAGUAACGGCCCAGAGACCUGCCUUCGCCAUCGGUGUUCCUCCUGAUAUCUGCGCAUUCCACCGCUACACCAGGAAUUCCAGUCUCCCCUACCGCACUCUAGUCUGCCCGUACCCACUGCAGGCGCAAGGUUAAGCCUUGCGUUUUCACAGCAGACGCGACAAACCGCCUACGAGCUCUUUACGCCCAAUAAUUCCGGACAACGCUUGCGCCCUACGUAUUACCGCGGCGGCUGGCAC
RNAcentral lists this ribosomal RNA (289 nucleotides) under uncultured Allobogoriellaceae bacterium. RNAcentral's name for it is "uncultured Bogoriellaceae bacterium partial 16S ribosomal RNA". Lineage: Bacteria; Bacillati; Actinomycetota; Actinomycetes; Allobogoriellales; Allobogoriellaceae. The record is from RNAcentral.